CUUCUCUGCUCUGCCUCGCCGGGGUCGCCUUCCUCGCGCGCUUUGGUUAUUGAUCCCGCUGAACCAGCCGGAGUGGCGAGGCUGCGUUUCCCCGGGGAUCGAUGGGGUGGGGUGGGGAGUAGGCUGCGGGGGUCGGAAAGGGGUUGAUAAACUUCAGGAAAGGGUGCAGAACGUUCUUCAGUACCCAAGGGCCGCCC
This is a long non-coding RNA of Loxodonta africana (African savanna elephant), 197 nucleotides long. It matches the Rfam family "Vax2os1 conserved region 3". The record is from Rfam. Lineage: Eukaryota; Metazoa; Chordata; Mammalia; Proboscidea; Elephantidae.